RNAcentral lists this transfer RNA (75 nucleotides) under Candidozyma auris. Its description in RNAcentral is "[Candida] auris tRNA-Gly". It matches the Rfam family "tRNA". From Rfam's summary of the family: Transfer RNA (tRNA) molecules are approximately 80 nucleotides in length. The record is from RNAcentral. Lineage: Eukaryota; Fungi; Ascomycota; Pichiomycetes; Serinales; Metschnikowiaceae.
UGGGUGGUUGGUGUAAUGGUUAGCAUUGCUGCCUUCCAAGCAGCAGACAUGGGUUCGAUUCCCGUACCACUCAAC